GCUAAACGCGAAGAACCUUACCAAGGCUUGACAUAUACGAGAACGGGCCAGAAAUGGUCAACUCUUUGGACACUCGUAAACAGGUGGUGCAUGGUUGUCGUCAGCUCGUGUCGUGAGAUGUUGGGUUAAGUCCCGCAACGAGCGCAACCCUCGUUCUAUGUUGCCAGCACGUAAUGGUGGGAACUCAUGGGAUACUGCCGGGGUCAACUCGGAGGAAGGUGGGGAUGACGUCAAAUCAUNAUGCCCCUUAUGUCUUGGGCUUCACGCAUGCUACAAUGGCCGGUACAAAGGGCUGCAAUACCGUAAGGUGGAGCGAAUCCCAAAAAGCCGGUCCCAGUUCGGAUUGAGGUCUGCAACUCGACCUCAUGAAGUCGGAGUCGNUAGUAAUCGCAGAUCAGCAACGCUGCGGUGAAUACGUUCCCGGGUCUUGUACACACCG
This 439-nucleotide ribosomal RNA is filed under the name uncultured bacterium. RNAcentral's name for it is "bacterial SSU rRNA". It matches the Rfam family "Bacterial small subunit ribosomal RNA", at positions 954 to 1392 of the family's 1533-position model. The record is from RNAcentral.